AUAAAAUCCAGGGCAGAGCCCCCCAUCCCAGGUGCCGUCGCUGCCCUAGGCACGCCAAGGAACAGAGGAGGGCAGGUAUCUUCUGGGCACCCUUCAGAGUCAAAUCAAGAUUUGAGGCACCCUGAGGAGGCUCGUAGCCAAAGCUUGGAAACGGCAGCACCGAAGCCCCCACGGACACCAUCUCCACGUCCACGUCCGACCGAGGAUGGAUUUCGUCCGCUCCUCUUCCAAAAGCUAAG
Agelaius phoeniceus (red-winged blackbird) is the source of this 239-nucleotide non-coding RNA. Lineage: Eukaryota; Metazoa; Chordata; Aves; Passeriformes; Icteridae. The record is from RefSeq and is a predicted model, not a curated record.